GCAGUCGAGCGGAUGARKGGAGCUUGCUCCWKGAUUCAGCGGCGGACGGGUGAGUAAUGCCUAGGAAUCUGCCUGRUAGUGGGGGACAACGUUUCGAAAGGAACGCUAAUACCGCAUACGUCCUACGGGAGAAAGCAGGGGACCUUCGGGCCUUGCGCUAUCAGAUGAGCCUAGGUCGGAUUAGCUGGUUGGUGAGGUAAUGGCUCACCAAGGCGACGAUCCGUAACUGGUCUGAGAGGAUGAUCAGUCACACUGGAACUGAGACACGGUCCAGACUCCUACGGGAGGCAGCAGUGGGGAAUAUUGGACAAUGGGCGAAAGCCUGAUCCAGCCAUGCCGCGUGUGUGAAGAAGGUCUUCGGAUUGUAAAGCACUUUAAGUUGGGAGGAAGGGCRGUAAGCUAAUACCUUGCUGUYUUGACGUUACCGACAGAAUAAGCACCGGCUAACUUCGUGCCAGCAGCCGACGGUAAUYA
This 474-nucleotide ribosomal RNA is filed under the name uncultured bacterium. Its description in RNAcentral is "bacterial SSU rRNA". The record is from RNAcentral.